UCCGGGUAUGAGUGCCGCUUUGUGUUUGUCAUCCUUCCAGAAAGCUGCGUCUACCGUUCAUUCGGCCGGAUGUAUGCGAUCUGGAUCUAUUACUUUGAAAAAAUUAGAGUGUUUAAAGCAGGCUUAUGCUGUGAAUACAUUAGCAUGGAAUAAUAAUUUAGGACUUUGGUUCUAUUUUGUUGGUUUCUAGGACUGAAGUAAUGAUUGAUAGGGAUAGUUGGGGGUGCUAGUAUUCCGCGGCCAGAGGUGAAAUUCUUGGAUUCACUGAAGACUAACUACUGCGAAAGCAUUCACCAAGGAUGUCUUCUUUAAUCAAGAACGAAAGUUGGGGGAUCGAAGACGAUCAGAUACCGUCGUAGUCUCAACCAUAAACUAUACCGACUAAGGAUCAGUGGACGUCUUAUUUCGACUCCAUUGGCACUUUAUGAGAAAUCAAAGUCUUUGGGUUCCGGGGGGAGUAUGGUCGCAAGGCUGAAACUUAAAGGAAUUGACGGAAGGGCACCACCAGGAGUGGAGCCUGCGGCUUAAUUUGACUCAACACGGGAAAACUCACCCGGCCCGGACACUGUAAUGAUUGACAGAUUGAGAGUUCUUUCUUGAUUCGGUGGUUGGUGGUGCAUGGCCGUUCUUAGUUGGUGGAGUGAUUUGUCUGGUUUAUUCCGAUAACGAACGAGACUCUAACCUGCUAAAUAGUUCUGCAGUAGCUUCGCUGCAGCAACUUCUUAGAGGGAUCAGUGG
RNAcentral lists this ribosomal RNA (738 nucleotides) under uncultured eukaryote. RNAcentral's name for it is "bacterial SSU rRNA". It matches the Rfam family "Eukaryotic small subunit ribosomal RNA", at positions 663 to 1426 of the family's 1831-position model. The record is from RNAcentral.